Wyeomyia smithii (pitcher-plant mosquito) is the source of this 790-nucleotide long non-coding RNA. RefSeq lists it as uncharacterized. The transcript has 3 exons. The record is from RefSeq and is a predicted model, not a curated record. NCBI's taxonomy places the organism in Eukaryota, Metazoa, Arthropoda, Insecta, Diptera, Culicidae.
CUUUAUUUGGCAUAGUCAUCGCUUGGGUUUGUCCGAUAACGCACCUUCUUAUUACUAUAGUCAUUGGUGUGCUCAGGGCGCGUAAGACACUCAAGAAUUCCAUCAGUUCUUCCAGCUGUUAUUCUAAAAAAAGUUAACGGUAAAUAAAGUUAUUAAAGUUCAGGUUCAAUUUUAUUUUUUGCAGCUGCAGUGAUCUGAAAAUUUAGGAGUGUGUUCUAAAUUAACUGUUUGUCACAAAAAGUAUCGAGUCCCUUCUACUACCAAGAUCUGAGCACGCCAAUGAUCAUAGAAGCCGCAAGAGCCUACUUUGAUCGCUCUUUAAUGAAUUUGUUGGAUAAUUUAUAGAUAGGGUAGACUGCUACAAGCAGCUCGGGUCAUCAAAGAAGCAAGGAGAUUUUCUCGAAUUGAUUCUCACAAGCACGAGGGGGAGGGAAAGGAAAAGUCAACCCCCGUUUCAGUGCAUUACAUCAUCGUUAGCAGACUAAAAGCAACAUACCGUCAAUUGGUGAAACUACACAUCCCUUCUUAUUGGCAGUGGAGGGAAACCAUCAAGAUGCGAUUUUCCGUCUAAUUCACAGCUUCUUCGCAUCCUGCCCAGCGCGGCUCACCGGUAGUUCCAUUAUCGAAGCUGAACACGACCAUCGCCGCAGUCGUCAUCGGAAGCAAGAUAUGAGGUCAUAAAAUGUCGGACUUUCCGCCACCACGUUAAUGGAUGAAGAUUGCCUGCCAGUAGCGGGGGUAGAAACAUUUAAUAUCAUGUCAUUUUUCUCAUCAAGCGCAAAUCAAUAAA